This 497-nucleotide ribosomal RNA is filed under the name uncultured bacterium. RNAcentral describes it as "partial 16S ribosomal RNA". It matches the Rfam family "Bacterial small subunit ribosomal RNA", at positions 28 to 507 of the family's 1533-position model. The record is from RNAcentral.
GAUGAACGCUGGCGGCGUGCCUAAUACAUGCAAGUCGAGCGAACGGACGAGAAGCUUGCUUCUCUGAUGUUAGCGGCGGACGGGUGAGUAACACGUGGAUAACCUACCUAUAAGACUGGGAUAACUUCGGGAAACCGGAGCUAAUACCGGAUAAUAUUUUGAACCGAAUGGUUCAAAAGUGAAAGACGGUCUUGCUGUCACUUAUAGAUGGAUCCGCGCUGCAUUAGCUAGUUGUUAAGGUAACGGCUUACCAAGGCAACGAUGCAUAGCCGACCGCAGAGGGUGAUCGGCCAAACUGGAACUGGAACACGGUCCGGCCUCCUACGGGAGGCAGCAGUCGGGAAUCUUCCGCGAUGGGCGAAAGCCGGACGGAGCAACGCCGCGGGAGUGAUGAAGGUCUUCGGAUCGUAAAACUCUGUUAUUAGGGAAGAACAUAUGUGUAAGUAACUGUGCACAUCUUGACGGUACCUAAUCAGAAAGCCCCGGCUAACUACGUG